CGAGUGGCGGACGGGUGAGUAAUGUCUGGGAAACUGCCUGAUGGAGGGGGAUAACUACUGGAAACGGUAGCUAAUACCGCAUAACGUCGCAAGACCAAAGAGGGGGACCUUCGGGCCUCUUGCCAUCAGAUGUGCCCAGAUGGGAUUAGCUAGUAGGUGGGGUAACGGCUCACCUAGGCGACGAUCCCUAGCUGGUCUGAGAGGAUGACCAGCCACACUGGAACUGAGACACGGUCCAGACUCCUACGGGAGGCAGCAGUGGGGAAUAUUGCACAAUGGGCGCAAGCCUGAUGCAGCCAUGCCGCGUGUAUGAAGAAGGCCUUCGGGUUGUAAAGUACUUUCAGCGGGGAGGAAGGCGAUGUGGUUAAUAACCGCGUCGAUUGACGUUACCCGCAGAAGAAGCACCGGCUAACUCCGUGCCAGCAGCCGCGGUAAUACGGAGGGUGCAAGCGUUAAUCGGAAUUACUGGGCGUAAAGCGCACGCAGGCGGUCUGUCAAGUCGGAUGUGAAAUCCCCGGGCUCAACCUGGGAACUGCAUCCGAAACUGGCAGGCUUGAGUCUCGUAGAGGGGGGUAGA
Molecule: ribosomal RNA, 577 nt
Filed under: Enterobacter sp. EECC-574
Lineage: Bacteria; Pseudomonadati; Pseudomonadota; Gammaproteobacteria; Enterobacterales; Enterobacteriaceae
Description: bacterial SSU rRNA
Rfam family: Bacterial small subunit ribosomal RNA
Source: RNAcentral